GUUUAUAAUUAAUUUCAGUAGUGUUUUCAGCUCAGUUCCCUGCAUCUCAGUAACCUCAUCGACAAAAUAAAAAGAUUUGGAUGAAUAAUUUUGAGGAAUAAUUCUGUUCCCAAAAUAUCCUUCUUAUAUUUAUAUAGUUUAAAUAGACUAUUUUUUUCUUCUUUAACUUGGUAGCCCACUUUAAUUGGCACCUGAAGCAAGAUUUUCUUUCAAUGUUUAUGAUGUUUCACUAUCAACUUUUUCUGUAAUUAUAUUCCCACGUUUUAUUUUACUUUUUAAAAUUGUGAUAUAAUUGACAUAUAAGUUUAUAUUAGUUGCAGGUAUACAACAUAAUGAUUUGAUGUAUGUGUUUAUUGAAAAAUGAUCACCACAAUAGGUUUAGCUAACAUCCAUUGGCACACAGUUAUAAUUUUUUUUUCCUGUGAUAAAAACUUUUAAGAUCUACUCUCUUAGCAACUUUCAAAUACAAAACGCCUAUUAUUACCUGUAGCCCCAGAUUUUAAAGGACACUAUCUAUUCCCAUCUUUUUGGCCAUAGAGGAUAGUUCCUUUUCAUGAUCCAUAAGUUGGCAAACCACUGAUGAAUUUUGAUCAUUUAUGCAAAGUGUGUCUCUCUCUCCAUUGAGGUAAAGUUCAUUUACUCACAUCUGACAUUUGUCACAGAAGAGACAUCCGUGCUUCAGAAGGUCCAGAGAGCAUCCAAAGUGUUCAUAGUGAUGUGGAGAUGGCUGUCACGCAAACAGACAAUGACGUUUAGGAAUCAGUCUGGAAAGAUGAUUUACUGAGUAGCUAAAUUUGAUAAUUUGUUAAAAAUUAAAAAACUAAAGUCAAUAAUCACAGGAAGAGGGCACAAGAGAUAAGUAUAACCAUUCAGUGAUAAUAGUGUGAUACUGAGAGGAAACGUUUUCACUGUUACUCCAUGAAGUGCACACUUAUCUAGUUUUCAUUUCCAUGGCUGGAGCUCCCAGGGAUCAAGCCAGUUACAGUAGAAGUCGAAGCCAACACUGAAACUCAAAAAAGUAAACGUAGGGAAACUAAAAGGAAGAAUUACAAUACCCAACCUAGACUAGUACUUUACUUGCAAAAUGUGGCAAGUAUUGUAGUCUGCCCCCCUGUAUUUGUUGUCCCUUUCUUUCAUGGUAAUUGAAACAAAUUACCAAAAUGGAAACCUACAUUUUCUUUCUGUUGGGCAAAUGGUUUCGGGCAUUAAAACUGGGUUUCCCAGCCUUCCUUGCCGUUUGGUGUGGUCAUGUGAUUAUGUUCUUAGGUGAGAUGGGAGUGGAAGUUGGCUCUGGCAGCUUCUCUAAUCCUCCUUAUGAAUAAGCUCGGGCACACCUGCCGCUGCUUGUCUCUUCCUCCUUCCUACUGCCUGGGACACAGCUGUGAUGGCUGUACCACGAAGAUACAGGCACACACGAUGGAAGUAGCCUAGUGAGCGGGCAAAGGCUGGGUCACCGUGGAUUAGUGCUGCCAUAUCAACCCUGCAUUGUACACCUCUGGACUUUACAUGAAAGGCAUCUUCCAGGCAGCGCUCCUCGGAGUUCACUUGUCCUUGAUUGAGCGCCCCUGGUACUCACCUAGAGGAGGAACGGCAGAAGCAUGCGCUUCAGAUCUGGAAUCAGAACGGCCUGGGACUCUCCAAAGCCACUGUCUGUGAGACUGCAAAAUUUACCUAACUUCCCGAUGCACUUCUUCGUGUUAUUUGCUGUGUCAUCUUCUGUGGAGUAACGUGGUUCUUCAACCUGAACACGAACCCAUGAAGAGGGAAAGGAGCAGUGGAAGAGCCG
Aethalodelphis obliquidens (Pacific white-sided dolphin) is the source of this 1786-nucleotide long non-coding RNA. RefSeq lists it as uncharacterized. The record is from RefSeq and is a predicted model, not a curated record. Lineage: Eukaryota; Metazoa; Chordata; Mammalia; Artiodactyla; Delphinidae. The transcript is spliced from 3 exons.